AUCAAACCGACCUUCAUCGUGUGAUUUUCCUCGAUCCUUAGAGUCGGUGGGGCAUAAUCCCCGAGACUCGUGCUGAUUGGCCAGCAGAGGAGGCGGGCGCCCAGGAGGGUAGGGCGGGCGCCCUGCCUCCGGGCCCGCUCGGCCUCCCGUUCGUUCCCGUGGCUUCUGGAGUCUUCUAGAUGAUAGAAAAUUGCGCGGCACGUUAAUAUCUCUAUGUAAUCUCGACGUGUGGGCCUUUCUUCUGUAUUUCCUGAUAACCCCCUACAGAAAUAGACAAACACCAAAACUCGUGGAAUUCUGUCAGAUAAAACUCUAAGUCUGGGUGUUGGUUGCAUUUGGAUCCUUUUCCAUGAUUAAUUGAUGGUUAAAUAUGAGCAUUAAGGACCGUCAACACGUGUGUGUAUGGGUUUUCCUCACCUUCUCCUGAGAAAGGUUGUUUUUGAAUAAAUUCUAUGUAUUUGGGGUCUAUCUCAAAACUAGAUGCUAUGAUAGGCUUUGAAGAUUUUGGUGGAUCGAGAUGUGUGCCCGUAGGUCUAUGAAAUUCAUAGAUAGACAUGUUUGAAUUCAUAAUAGACCAGAGAUCGAGGAUUAGAUAAGAAGAAAGAAUAGCAGAGAUGAGGCAAAGGAUAAAAGGAAAAUAUUUUUUUAUUUUUUUUUAUUUUUUAGAAAAUGAUUAAGCUAGUUUGUAGUCAACUCAGCAACCGUUUCCCCGGCAACGGCGCCAAAAAUGAUUGUUGACACUUGCUAACACCACUUGAAUACUAGGUUGUCAUCCCCAGCAUGGCACUAGAGUGUACUAUAGUAUUUAUAUGCACACAGAUAAUCCGCAAGCGCACGGAUACCGUUGAAGCUUUUACCCAGUUAAAGGUUUUAUCGUAUCCACAGGGAAACGGGAGAACUGAUCUACGCUCUAACUUAACCAAGAUAAGUAAAUAGGUGUGAAUCGGAAAGAUGGUAGAAUCAAAUAAGAACAAUAUUAAAGGUAAGAUAACAGUGAGUGAUAAUAUGGGAAUAGAGAGUGGAGCAAUUCUAGUAUAUGGCCGGCCUCUCCUCUAAUCCUCCUUCGCUCUCCAUCUUGCUACUAUCUAGAUCUACUAUAGUUUAGAGAAGAGAGGAGAGCUCUCAUCUCUAAACCCUAGCUUUUGCUCUGUCUAUGAAUAAUGAAUAAUGAUCAAGGGGUUGCCUCCUCCAGGGGCCAGGGGGUCUGGUUUUAUAGUCCCCUCAAGUGAACCUGGGCCGUCGGAUCAAACCGACAUUGAUUGAACGGUUAUUCUUGAUCCUUUAGGUCGGUGGAGCAUAAUCCGCGAGAUUGAGCGUGAUUGGCCACAGGAGGUGGGCGGGCGCCCAGUAGGACAGGGCGGGCGCCCUGUCUCUGGCCCCGAUUCACCUCCGCUUCGGUCUCAUGGCUUCUAGAGUCUUCUAGAUGUAAGAUAAUUGCACGGCA
Molecule: long non-coding RNA, 1444 nt
Filed under: Sorghum bicolor (sorghum)
Lineage: Eukaryota; Viridiplantae; Streptophyta; Magnoliopsida; Poales; Poaceae
Description: long non-coding RNA (SBIC_LNC004605)
Source: RNAcentral